Phoenix dactylifera (date palm) is the source of this 5696-nucleotide non-coding RNA. NCBI's taxonomy places the organism in Eukaryota, Viridiplantae, Streptophyta, Magnoliopsida, Arecales, Arecaceae. The record is from RefSeq and is a predicted model, not a curated record.
AGAAAGGGGCUAGGGCUUCCGAGGGAGACGGAGGGGGGGAGAGAGAGAGGAGAAUGGAGACGAAGAGGCGAGAAAUCACUUGUACUACUAAAAAAUGGAAAGUUUACGGACAAUCCACUGUUGCCUCUUCCUAAGAAGGCCAAGAAGAUCCUUGUAGCUGGGAGCCAUGCCGACAACUUGGGCUGUCAGUGUGGAGGAUGGACUAUCACUUGGCAAGGACGCAGUGGGAACAAUCUAACAAUUGGAACCACAAUCCUUGAUGCCAUCAAGGCCAUUGUUGACACCACCACCAAGGUUGUCUACUCUGGAAAAUUAUCGAAGUGGAAUCUAGAUUAAGCUACAAGACCUAACAAGUGUUCACGUAUGAGAAGAAAAACACAAGCAACAGUGCACUUUUCUAUUUUUCCUUUUUUUAUUGAGGUUAACAAGAAAUGUUACUAACAUCUCUUUUCUUCGUUAGAAUCAUAAAGCAUAAAUUCGACUGUCUAACAAAUGUUUGUCCUUUACAUAAUCAAACAAAUAGAUCUGAUUUUUCUUUUCCCCCUUUAAUGGUAAAACACCAAAAAUACUGUGUUCAACAAGAAUGUCAAAUAUAGGAGAUAGUAGAUAUGAUACUACCAUAAAGUUUUCCUCAUAAUAAAAAAAGAAAGAUAGUACCAUAAACUAGAAAGCAUGAAAAAAAUAAUUAGCUGUCACUUCAAAUACUUACUAGAAGCCCUAAUUGUGAGAGAAACUUGAAUACGAAGAGCAUUUUAAGCCCUUUCAAUCUAAUUAUUUCAACACAAAUUUCUUAUCUUAUUUCAGACUAUAAACAUGCAGCGAAGGGGAAAAAUAUAUAAGACCGCCUGUUGCUUUCGCAUUCAAAUGAAAAAUAAAAAUGUAAGGACUCGCAGGCCUGAAUGAGGUGAAGGUUAGUAGGGUCUUCUCGUGGGUUGCUCAAAAAACAAAAAGAAAAAAGAAAAAAACUAAGGUGGUUCAUAGGAGGAGGCUUGCAGGUUUACUUUCCAUGUCAAUUGCCCAGUGAUUUGUCAUUUAACUAUAACUAGUCUAUGCACAAGGUUGACACAGUGGCAGUUCACUUAAUAUCCUGCAUGCACACAUAUGGCAGCAGAUAUCAGGAGGUAUUCCCAUAGACUGUAGGAGUGACAUCAUUGUUGAUUUCUGAACCAAUUCGGCCAAAGAUUGAAAAGUCAGCUAUAUCUUUUUAUAUGAUUCGUGAGUGCCAUUAAUUAUUGAAAACUAUUCACAAAUCACAAUCAGCACAACAUUCUAGAAUGGGGCUGUCUCGUAAAAAUAUCAGCUCAAUGUGCUACAGAUGGCCCUGUCCAGAUUGGGUUGAAAAGUUUUUGUUCACAUGAAACAGACAUCCUUCUAACAUUCUAGUUUUCUCUAACUGUUCCACUAUCAUAUCUAAAUAUUAUGGCGUUAUAAAUGUGAAAGAUCUUAACAUGAGCAUUUCUUAUUCGUCAGUGUCAAAGUUCCUCAUAGUUGUAUGGCCUCAUCUAGCAUAUAUCGGUAGAGCCAAAUUUGUCAUUUUCUUUGUUGUUCAAUUUAAAGCCCUUCUUGGGUCCUAAAUCUUAGAUACAGAAACCAGCUUUGUAGCAAACCAGAGUCCUUUUAGCCUAAAUGGCUUCUCCCCUCUGUUUCAAUGGUGAAACAUAGGGAGAAAAGAACGGAGAAUGCGAGCCCAACCAGGCCCGGCCCAAGCCCAGUGGCCAAUCCGGGCCGAGCCCAGGCACCCAGGGCACUGCAGGCUCAGCCGCGGUUGCCCUAGGGUACCCCGACGCGGCCGCAGGGCCGUCAGGCCCUGGCCGAGUCCCACCUCCCUCCGGUGAGGAGGUGGUGGCGCCACCACAGAGGGAGGAGGUGAAAAAGAGAAUAAAAGAAAAUAAAGAAAGAAAAAGAGGGGGGAAAAAGAGAGGAUCGUACCUGGGUCUCUCGCGCCUCCUUCUCGGUCACGGUGGUUCUCCUCCUCCGCCGUGGCCGGAUCGGGGUAAGGGAGGUCCCCGGAGACAAACUCACUCCGGCAUCACUUCGGAGGAAGUUUAGCCCCUCCCUCUCCCACUGCUCCCACCCUGGAGAAGGGCACCCCUCGGCCGCAGUCGCCGGAGCGGCUGCAGGCCGAGGAAGCGUCGGCCUCCUCAGGGGAGCUCCCAAGGGCUCGGCCCCACCUCGGGGACCCCGUUCGACUCCUCCGGCACCACUUCGGAGGAGGUCCAGGGCCUUCCCUUCUGCCGCUCCGAGGUAGGAGCAUCUCCCGGAGGAGGCUCACCCCACGGUGGCACGGCGAGAGGGAGAAGAGGAAGGGGGAGAAGCAAAGAGAGAGGAAGGAUGGGAGAAGGGCUCGGCCGGAGGUGAAAGAAGAAGAAAGAAAGGGGCUAGGGCUUCCGAGGGAGACGGAGGGGGGGAGAGAGAGAGGAGAAUGGAGACGAAGAGGCGAGAAAUCACUUGUACUACUAAAAAAUGGAAAGUUUACGGACAAUCCACUGUUGCCACUUCCUAAGAAGGCCAAGAAGAUCCUUGUAGCUGGGAGCCAUGCCGACAACUUAGGCUGUCAGUGUGGAGGAUGGACUAUCACUUGGCAAGGAUGCAGUGGGAACAAUCUAACAAUUGGUAAACAUUCUAAACACCUUAGAUUGACUUUGUUUCUUAUUUCAGACAUAGCAGAGCAUGGUAAUGUUUUGAACUUCGAGCGAUCCUUUGCAACAGGAACCACAAUCCUUGAUGCCAUCAAGGCCAUUGUUGACACCACCACCAAGGUUGUCUACUCUGGAAAAUUAUCGAAGUGGAAUCUAGAUUAAGCUACAAGACCUAACAAGUGUUCACGUAUGAGAAGAAAAACACAAGCAACAGUGCACUUUUCUAUUUUUCCUUUUUUUAUUGAGGUUAACAAGAAAUGUUACUAACAUCUCUUUUCUUCGUUAGAAUCAUAAAGCAUAAAUUCGACUGUCUAACAAAUGUUUGUCCUUUACAUAAUCAAACAAAUAGAUCUGAUUUUUCUUUUCCCCCUUUAAUGGUAAAACACCAAAAAUACUGUGUUCAACAAGAAUGUCAAAUAUAGGAGAUAGUAGAUAUGAUACUACCAUAAAGUUUUCCUCAUAAUAAAAAAAGAAAGAUAGUACCAUAAACUAGAAAGCAUGAAAAAAAUAAUUAGCUGUCACUUCAAAUACUUACUAGAAGCCCUAAUUGUGAGAGAAACUUGAAUACGAAGAGCAUUUUAAGCCCUUUCAAUCUAAUUAUUUCAACACAAAUUUCUUAUCUUAUUUCAGACUAUAAACAUGCAGCGAAGGGGAAAAAUAUAUAAGACCGCCUGUUGCUUUCGCAUUCAAAUGAAAAAUAAAAAUGUAAGGACUCGCAGGCCUGAAUGAGGUGAAGGUUAGUAGGGUCUUCUCGUGGGUUGCUCGAAAAAACAAAAAGAAAAAAGAAAAAAAACUAAGGUGGUUCAUAGGAGGAGGCUUGCAGGUUUACUUUCCAUGUCAAUUGCCCAGUGAUUUGUCAUUUAACUAUAACUAGUCUAUGCACAAGGUUGACACAGUGGCAGUUCACUUAAUAUCCUGCAUGCACACAUAUGGCAGCAGAUAUCAGGAGGUAUUCCCAUAGACUGUAGGAGUGACAUUAUUGUUGAUUUCUGAACCAAUUCGGCCAAAGAUUGAAAAGUCAGCUAUAUCUUUUUAUAUGAUUCGUGAGUGCCAUUAAUUAUUGAAAACUAUUCACAAAUCACAAUCAGCACAACAUUCUAGAAUGGGGCUGUCUCGUAAAAAUAUCAGCUCAAUGUGCUACAGAUGGCCCUGUCCAGAUUGGGUUGAAAAGUUUUUGUUCACAUGAAACAGACAUCCUUCUAACAUUCUAGUUUUCUCUAACUGUUCCACUAUCAUAUCUAAAUAUUAUGGCGUUAUAAAUGUGAAAGAUCUUAACAUGAGCAUUUCUUAUUCGUCAGUGUCAAAGUUCCUCAUAGUUGUAUGGCCUCAUCUAGCAUAUAUCGGUAGAGCCAAAUUUGUCAUUUUCUUUGUUGUUCAAUUUAAAGCCCUUCUUGGGUCCUAAAUCUUAGAUACAGAAACCAGCUUUGUAGCAAACCAGAGUCCUUUUAGCCUAAAUGGCUUCUCCCCUCUGUUUCAAUGGUGAAACAUAGGGAGAAAAGAACGGAGAAUGCGAGCCCAACCAGGCCCGGCCCAAGCCCAGUGGCCAAUCCGGGCCGAGCCCAGGCACCCAGGGCACUGCAGGCUCAGCCGCGGUUGCCCUAGGGUACCCCGACGCGGCCGCAGGGCCGUCAGGCCCUGGCCGAGUCCCACCUCCCUCCGGUGAGGAGGUGGUGGCGCCACCACAGAGGGAGGAGGUGAAAAAGAGAAUAAAAGAAAAUAAAGAAAGAAAAAGAGGGGGGAAAAAGAGAGGAUCGUACCUGGGUCUCUCGCGCCUCCUUCUCGGUCACGGUGGUUCUCCUCCUCCGCCGUGGCCGGAUCGGGGUAAGGGAGGUCCCCGGAGACAAACUCACUCCGGCAUCACUUCGGAGGAAGUUUAGCCCCUCCCUCUCCCACUGCUCCCACCCUGGAGAAGGGCACCCCUCGGCCGCAGUCGCCGGAGCGGCUGCAGGCCGAGGAAGCGUCGGCCUCCUCAGGGGAGCUCCCAAGGGCUCGGCCCCACCUCGGGGACCCCGUUCGACUCCUCCGGCACCACUUCGGAGGAGGUCCAGGGCCUUCCCUUCUGCCGCUCCGAGGUAGGAGCAUCUCCCGGAGGAGGCUCACCCCACGGUGGCACGGCGAGAGGGAGAAGAGGAAGGGGGAGAAGCAAAGAGAGAGGAAGGAUGGGAGAAGGGCUCGGCCGGAGGUGAAAGAAGAAGAAAGAAAGGGGCUAGGGCUUCCGAGGGAGACGGAGGGGGGGAGAGAGAGAGGAGAAUGGAGACGAAGAGGCGAGAAAUCACUUGUACUACUAAAAAAUGGAAAGUUUACGGACAAUCCACUGUUGCCUCUUCCUAAGAAGGCCAAGAAGAUCCUUGUAGCUGGGAGCCAUGCCGACAACUUAGGCUGUCAGUGUGGAGGAUGGACUAUCACUUGGCAAGGAUGCAGUGGGAACAAUCAAACAAUUGGUAAACAUUCUAAAACACCUUAGAUUGACUUUGUUUCUUAUUUCAGACAUAGCAGAGCAUGGUAAUGUUUUGAACUUCGAGCGAUCCUUUGCAACAGGAACCACAAUCCUUGAUGCCAUCAAGGCCAUUGUUGACACCACCACCAAGGUUGUCUACUCUGGAAAAUUAUCGAAGUGGAAUCUAGAUUCAGCUACAAGACCUAACAAGUGUUCACGUAUGAGAAGAAAAACACAAGCAACAGUGCACUUUUCUAUUUUUCCUUUUUUUAUUGAGGUUAACAAGAAAUGUUACUAACAUCUCUUUUCUUCGUUAGAAUCAUAGAGCAUAAAUUCGACUGUCUAACAAAUGUUUGUCCUUUACAUAAUCAAACAAAUAGAUCUGAUUUUUCUUUUCCCCCUUUAAUGGUAAAACACCAAAAAUACUGUGUUCAACAAGAAUGUCAUAUAUAGGAGAUAGUAGAUAUGAUACUACCAUAAAGUUUUCCUCAUAAUAAAAAAAGAAAGAUAGUGCCAUAAACUAGAAAGCAUGAAAAAAAUAAUUAGCUGUCACUUCAAAUACUUACUAGAAGCCCUAAUUGUGAGAGAAACUUGAAUACGAAGAGCAUUUUAAGCCCUUU